CGGAGCCCUGCGCUCCGGCGGAGCCCGCGCCGCUGGAGUCGGCGGCGGCCGUGCUCGUGUCCGUGUGGCCCGCGGGCUUGGUGCCGGUGGCCUCCGA
This 97-nucleotide transfer RNA is filed under the name Streptomyces albospinus. Its description in RNAcentral is "tRNA-Ser". Lineage: Bacteria; Bacillati; Actinomycetota; Actinomycetes; Kitasatosporales; Streptomycetaceae. The record is from RNAcentral.